RNAcentral lists this long non-coding RNA (9858 nucleotides) under Capsicum annuum. RNAcentral describes it as "long non-coding RNA (CANN_LNC009801)". Lineage: Eukaryota; Viridiplantae; Streptophyta; Magnoliopsida; Solanales; Solanaceae. The record is from RNAcentral.
GCACACAGACCCCACACACGCCACCGCUGGAAAAAUGGAAAAAAUUUGAGAGGGGGAGAGAUUUUUAUGGUUAUUUUCGUCUUUAUAGUUCGUAUUGUUCUCUGGUUGUGGCAAAUAUUGUUUCGCAGGUGUUGCUAUUGGAGGUGGAUGGCACCCCCCAUCCCACCCCCACCCCGCAAACACCCUAACCCCAUCUAUAUACACACCAAAACAGAUGCUGCCAUAAAUAUUCUCCUAUAUAUGCUGCUGCUCUUGCAUAGUCUACUCACACAAAUAAUCCUGUCUAAAUUUCACUUCCAUUCAUAGGGUUCCAAUUCUUGAAAAUCUUGACGCAAGUGAUAAAAAUUCUGUCUUUUGAGGCCUUAUUUUAUCAAUUCUUGGUUGAAUUGUGGAGAUAUGGAUCAAUUUGUGAUCUUACUAUGUUUCAGUACAUGGUUUCUGCUUUUCAAAAAGAAAAAUCUGUCUAAAAAGGCUGAGGAUCUUCUGGAUCUAGCACCAAUCCUACAGGGAAUCCUAACUCGACUCUGUUACAAUGAGUUGAAAAUAACUACUCAAGAUUUCAGUAGAAAGCUUGGGGAAGGAGGGUUGCAGAAGCAGGAUGAUGAUGAAGAUGAAGAGGGGAAUGAAAACAAGGGUUUAGAACAAUUUCUGUGCCCUUUUUUCUGUGUAUUUACUUUUCUAAAUUUUUUUGCCUCCUAUUUAAUAGGUUUUGUAAUUUUUGAAUUGGUAUAUUUUGUAAAAUAAAAUCUUCUGAUAUAUUUUGUAAUAUGGGCUUUAAUAUUGUAUAUUUAUGUGAUUUUUCCAAAUAAAAAAUAAAUGUCUUGCCAAAUAUUUUCCCUCCGUAGUCCAAUGUGUAGACUUUCGGAACCCUUCAUUUAGUAGUGUGAACCCAAAAAGGUCACAAAUCAAGAAUAUAAUAUAGCGUUGACAACUUGAACAAGCUAACUUGUAAGCAUCUUUAAAGAUUAUUCUAAAUAAGUAUGUCAAAUUUGACCAACUAUAUAUAUACUAGAUAAGUAUGCCCGUACUUAGCACAGAACAUGCAGAAUUUAAAGUAACUUUUUAUUUGCUACAAGUAUUUUGAGGUGUAAACCUGAAAUUGAAUUUAAACUAUUUACUUUUUGAAAAUACACUUAGUAUGUUAUUGUUGAUGAAUUUUCUCCCAUAAAGAAACAACCCUCUUAAUUCAAACCAAAUUAAGAAGCAUUAUGCAAAGAUUUUGUAUGAUAGAUUUAAAAUAUAAACUAACAGAUUGUAUCUAGUUGUUUUGCACCUUAGAACACAAAAUAUGUACAUAUCAAUAUGUUGAAUGUACACUCUAAUCAUGCUUUUCAUAAGUUUCAAGUAAUAUGUAUGAUAGUUCCUACUUAGAUUUUCUGUUUCCACAUUAUCCUCGGAAAACGGCGUACGAAAAGUUUUACAUCGCCUUCAAAAUGCAGACAAACCUUCAUAAAGUUAUAAAACAACAACAUAUCCAAUGUAAUCCUACAAGUGUGAUCUGAGGAUAGAGUGUACACACAACUUACUCCUACCUUGAAAGGUAGAGAGACUAUUUCUCAAGAACUGAAGUUGUGUUAUAAUGUUGAAACAGGAAAACAAAAUGCUUCUAUAAACUAGGUGAAUGAUUUACUUUGGGAGAGAAACGGCCAGCAACUUUGCUAGAAUUCAAAAAAUAAUACAAAAUUCUCUCAUAACAAAUACUACAAGACAUUUAUAAAUUGCUUGUUACUAUGUAAGAUUAAGUAACAAAUACUACAAGACAUUUAUAAAUUGCUUGUUACUCUGUAAGAUUAAGUUGCUUCCAGAAAGCUUCUUUCCCUGCAAGUCAUAAAAAAUUUGACCAUAUUUAAAUUCAAAUAAUUAUAUUACUAAACAAAGACUACGGCAUGAUCCAGAGAAGGAAUCUUUAUACAUCUAAUUUUUUUAUAUAACAUGAUAAUGAUCUUUUGGAAACAUACAAGAUGCUAUGUUACAGAAGUCAGAUCAGAGGAGCCCUUACUUCUUAAACAACUAAUUGAAACAGAAAUCUAUCUUCCUUGAAUAAAACAUUACAUAUUUAAAGAUUACAUUGAGAAUAACUCUUUCACUUUCCAAUAGUAGUAACGUUAUACUUUUUCCAAUAGAUGGAUUACAAUAUACCAAUCGAUGGAUCUACUACGGCUCAAUCCCGAAUAAGUAGGACAGAGUCCAAUAUAUACACUCAAAAUCAAAAUACUACUAUUUUCCCCUCUCAAAAGAAUCUUAUAUAGUAACUUCUUUAUUAUAUUAGGACCAAUGGAUUUAACCAACACUCCUGAGGCUUGUAACAGUUCCUCUCACAGAUCAUCAAGAAAAAGAUGUGGCUGCUGUAAACUUAUUUCACGAGAUUAUUGUUUGAUGAUAAGUUAAAUACCCCAACAAAUAAUUUCCAAUCUUUGUAGCAAGAGGGAAAGAAACUGAAAAUAGAGAACUUGUGACGCCUCGAAUUUGUAGUCAAAAUCCCAGCAGAAGGAACAUGAUACCGUAAGCAGUAAAGAGCUAUUAUAAUAAUGCUUCUCAAAAUGAAAGCUAAUCAAUUAGGGGAUAAUUAGUUUCCAAAUGUUACAAGAAAAGUAGUAUAUAUGCAAUGCAGUUUUAAUGAAUUAGAGGAUUAAUCAGCAAGGUUCAUCCAAGUACUUAAGGCAACAUAUUAAAAAAUGAUAUUACCUUCCCAAUGCAUCAUAAGUUGCUGCAAGAUUGCUAUAGACACCAAGGGUAUCUUGAUGACAAGGACCACACUCCUGUUCCAGAAUUCGUCUUGCUUCCUCAAAGAAUUCAGCAACCUCAUCUAUUUUGAAUAACUGAACAGAAGACAAUCCUAUCUGAUUCAAAACAACCCGAAAGAACGUUGACUUCCUCUCACUGCCAGCCCUGAGUUUUGCUACAACAUUUUCAAAGUUGUGUGCCUCUUCAUAUCUUCCAACCAUAUGGAACAUAACUCCCAUCCGUGCUUCAAUGCCAGCAAUCGUACUUUGCUAUCCUGGUUUAUCCUCCAAAAGUUUAAUUGCCUUGAGCAGGAGUUUCAGUGCCUCCUCAGGUUCAUUAAAUAACUCAUAAAUAACUGAAAUUUCUGUCAACCCACAAGCAGUCUCUUCUGUAGUCGUUCUAGGCCCAGGUUUUGCAUAUAUUCUCAAGGCAUUUUCACAAUAGGAUCUGGAUUCCCUCAGUUUUCCCGUCUUAUAGUAUAGGUCAGCCAGCCUUACAAAGACAAAUGCAACUGAAGGAUGGUUGUCACCCUUGGAUGAUUUGAAAAUAGUAGGUGACUUUUGAUAGGAGAAGACAACCUCAUCAAAACGAGACAGAGACAAGUACACACUGCAUUUUCUUGGUACAAUGCAAGAAAAUAAAAAUAAAAAUUACUCAUCCAUUUCAAUUUGUUUGUCCUACUUUAUUUUUUAUCUGUUUUAAAAAGNNNNNNNNNNNUUUCCCUUUUUUGGUAACUCAUUAACUAUUCAAGUCCAACUUUUUAUAUGGCAUAGCUAAGAUCACCGGACAAAAGAAAUUUUGAUACAUUCGAUAUAUCUUUAGUUUAAAAUCACAAGAUAAAAUCAAGCAAACAAAAUGAAAUAAAGGGAGUAUAGUAGUCGGUGCACCAUCAGUUAAAAUAUUUUGAUAGUUAAACCAAAAAUUGGUUUCCAAAUGACACCCAUAACAGUGAUACUUUUAGCUAGAUAUCAACUUGGCAGUGCCACAAUUGACAUUACAGAGGCAUAAGAUCGUGUAAUGUUAAUAGUUAGUGUGGCUAGAUUAUAAAAAGUUCGGCACAUUUGGGACAAAACAUCCAUUCUUAGUUGAUCGUACUUUCUUCUUUUUACCAUGUGAUAGGACAGUGAAGCCUGAGCGGGCGUGAAGAAGGAAAGGCCAAACACUUCGGCCUAAUGGGAAUGAGAAUUUGAUCUAAGUUUUAAAUGGAAGUAGCUGAGUAUUAUCUUUAUUAACUUUCCUGUGCCUUGCUCCGACAGCACCGGGGCCUGCCCCUACUAUUUCUUUGUUGGGUUAUAAUGAGUUUGUGACUUUUUUUUAUUCUUUCUCUCGUCUUACUACUGUUUAUCAACAAAUAUCUAAGAAUGAUAACCACCCAGUAUAAUCCCAUAAAGUGGGUUCUGAGGAGGGUAGAGUGUAUGCAACAGACCGGUAGAGACGCUAUUUCUCGUAGACGCUCUAAUGAAGGAAAAAUAACCCAAAGCAGUCCAUGAAAAGAAGCAACAUAAGUAGAAGAAAUAGAAAAUAGUGACAAAAUCAUCAGAUAGGAAAAGGAUCAUAUGCCAUACUCCUUUGGGAACUAACUAAAUAGAGUUAAAAAGUACUCUAUUAAGAACAUUGAAGAUUCAAAGCAAGGAUUCAUAUAGAAACGGACCCAAGAACAACAUACCCACAAAGUGAGGGUAAGUGUACACAGACCAUACCACGGAUGUUUCUGAUACAGUAAAGAACGCACAAGAUAAAAACAAACCAAAAGACUUUAAAUUCACAAUAACAGUAACCCCAAAGACAGGAAUGGAGAGGGCGCAUUCUUGGAUUUGACCGUAAGUGGAGAAAAGUUGAGAGAGCUGAUCAGCACAACCCAAUGCCGGAACAUUCCUCACUAUCAAAUAUCUGCACAAUAAUCAAUCCAUAACAUCAUCACAAAUUAUCGAAUAAAUUAUUAUUAUUUAGAAGACAGAGAUGAACUUGGAUUCAUCACAAACUGUGUAAAUGCAGACUACGGGAGCCUCGUCUUUGUAUCGAGGCAUUGGCCUUCCCCUUCACAACUCACCUUGCUUAUACGAAAACUCUCAAAAUUGGGAGUCUCCCUAACAUAUUUGGGAAACAUGCAACAAUAAAUUAAGGGCAAUGGAAAAAUUUCAAACCUAAAAUCUACAUCAACAGCAAUAGACAAAAUUAUCUUUUCUGAUAUUCCUCAAACAAAAUUCUAAUUAUAAAUGAACACGAAUAUAUAUAUAUAUAUAUAUCCCGGGCAUACAAAAUUGGUAUACUAAGAUCCCAAGUAAUUUUUGGAUAUUUAAGUGCAUAUAAUUCAUCACGUGACAAAAUCAGGGAAAGUUCAAAGAUUCUGGAAGUGGUGAUAAGUUACAAAAGGUUACCGCCUGGAUUACUAUGCAAUUCGUUAUUGUUUUAACAUGAAAUUGUUUUCCAAAAAAAUUAUAAAUAGUUUUACUACAAAAGAUUAUCUAUUACGCACUCCUUUACUGUGCACUGGUUAUGUAUUUAUCAGUAGCAGCACUUGAUAAUAAGCUUCAUAUGUAUGAACUUCUUUAUUGUUUUGAUAGAAAAACGACAUAAGAUUACGUCUUGGAUUACUUCAUAGUGUGCCGAAAUUCAGGAUUCAUAGUUUCACACCUAAUCAAAAUUAUAAACAUGAACAAAGUUAAGGACAAGGGGGAGGUAUAAUCGUUUUACCUAUUUCAAUUUAAUAAAUAUACAACCAAUAAACUUACCUUCUCUAGAACUUCUUAUAUGUGGACAGAAGGAAGUUUUUUGACCACUCAUAUGAUCCUGGUAACUGAAAAUCCGAACAUCAGUUCGCUCUCUCUCUAUACAUACAAACACACACACAGACACACACUCUCUUACAUACAUACAUAUAUAUAUAUAUAUAUAUACACGUUCUCCCAAUCUACAGCAAGUGACAAACAAUAUCAUCUCCGUAAAUAUGUACAUAAAAGUACAAUCAUAUAUAUAGCUUGGGUUGAUAGUACCCUCCUAGUGUCUACUGGGCACCAACUGACCAAGAUAGGAGGACUACUACGCAAUAAGGCUAACGUCUCUGUACUCCACGUUUAAGACGAAGGAGUGAGGUAAAAUAGUGAUAACAACAUACUCAAUGUAAUCCCAUAAGUGGAGUCUAGAAAUGGUAGAGGGGACACAGACCUUACCUUUACUUUGAGGUAGCGAAACUGCUCCCAAAAGACACCGACUCAAGUAAGUAACAUUACAUAAAUGGUGAUAUGAAUGUAAAAACAACUCAAGCUGAACCGUGUAGUGGUGCUACACUCAAAUUUAUUGACAUCUAAGAUGAAAUAAUAGAGGAAAACAAAAAAUACAAGAGAAUUUUGCUUAUAGUUGGAGAAAGGAAACAUUAACAAAGAAGGAAUUUCCUAUAUUUAAGAUGAACCAUUUCAGUUAUUAUACCUGAUGAAGCCAAAUGAUUUUACCAUCACCAAUUAUUUGCUGUGUUACAGGUUUAUCUCAUGUGUGUAUCAAAAACCGAUCAAAAAAUGCAAACACGGUCAUCAUGGAAGUGUAGCUCUAACUUCCAUCUUAUCUGUGCCAUAGGCCUGAAAAACAACACAUACUAAUCAGUUGAAAUAUUUAAGCAUUCUAAACCUAAAGUACUUCAACAAAAAUAGAAUUGUUGGUUUACGAGAGAUUUUUUGGUUGUAGGUUAUUCUUCCAUUCCCUAUUUGGAUAGUUGUAUUGAUUCAAGUGAUAUUAUAUAAUAACCAUCUGCAACUCUCCUAAAAGUCAGAGCUGCAAUAACCUCUUCAACCCAAACNNNNNNNNNNNNNNNNNNNNNNNNNNNNNNNNNNNNNNNNNNNNUUUCAUAUUUUUCUUUAAAAAAAUGACAUCAAGAAGAUGUAGAGUUACAAGGAACAAAAAUAAAAUAAAUUGCUAGCCUCAGUUAUACACUGUCUCCAUCUAAAACAAGAUCGAUUACAAAGAAGUUAACAUGUAUUAUACAACAUUAUCUAAUAAAAAAUUCAUUUGAAAUUACAGAAGUACCAGGUAAACAAAAGCAAACCAAGAAAUGUGCAGAAAAAUAUGAGUAUUGAUGAAUCUUUUUAUAUCUUCUAUUAGAACAAUAAAUGCAGAAAAAUAGAUCAUAUAAAUGAAAAAAUAUAAUGACAAAAUCAAGAUGGAUAAUAACGACAACAACAAUGAAAUUAACAAAUAAAAUUGAGCAAUUUGAAGAGAGCAGAAACAAGUUUAAGCAAAAACUUCAGAGAAUAAUUGCCCUUAAAUUGCAGACAUUAGCUCUUAAAGAACAAUUGAAAGGCUGAAAGGGUAAGGAGUUUUCCAGAAUUAUGUUGAGGACUAUAGGUGUUUUAUUGAUAUUAAUAUUUACCCUUGAAAGUGAGCAUAUUUACAGCCAUACCCUUAAUCGUCCCUAAACCAGCUCUAGAAAAAUAUCUAAACGUCAAAUUUGACUCACUAUAUACAUAUAUUACUUAGAUAUACAGAGAUUACAAAAAAAAAAGAGUUUAGAUACAUCGAGGAGCAGUCAAAGACAUGAUCCACAAAGAACAUCAACUCAUUCAUUCUCUUGGGAUAGUUUAAUUUUAUUGUUCAUAUGUUCCACAAAGUUUGGACAUUUUCCUCCACAAAGUAGCUUUUUUGAAGUUUGAUCUUUUCAUGUCCACACUAUGAUCACCCGAAAACAAAGAGUAUGAAAGUGAAGAAAAGGAAGAGGAUUAAACCGAGACUCUAUAUAAAUUUUUUAUGGACAGAGUUUUGUGGUUCUUUAUUUUUCUAAUCAUUAUUAAAAAUCUAUUGAGGUCACACUACAUAGCAGCAGCCAACAAGCAAUCUUUAUUUAUUAUCAAUUGGGAUAAGGUAUAGGUAACUGGAAGGAAUGAGGGAGAUUUGGUGGUGACUCACUACAAAUGUCACUCCAGUGAAAUGGUCCUUUCCCUUGGAGAUUUUUAAAAAAAUAACAUGGGAGAUCAGUAAGUAAAAUAUUAAAACUUUUAUUGGGAUUUUGUUCUAAAUAGGAUUUGAUCUUAUGACCGUUGGGAUAGUUAAUUGUAAUACCCCGCAUUUUCGGGCUUGUCUAUGAACCGUCGGUCUUACGUGUAUAAGCUAUAAUCCAAGUGAUUCCUAUGUGAAUAUAAGUUUCAUGAUCUUUAUCCUAGUGUGUGAAGUGCUCUUGAGGUUAAAAGUAUUCAUAGGAAUCACUUAGAGCCAAGUUGAGCUAAGAUAAUUUGAUUAGUCCAAAAUUUGACAUUUGAUUCUACAAGGGUUUACAUUAAAUGUGUAUAACUUUUUAUAUAAAUAGAAUUUUUUAUCUGAAGACCCACCAAAUUGUAUAUAAUUGAAUUAGCUUUACAACGACACCAAUUUCGCCAAAAUCCAAUACCCGAGCAAAAAGUUACAGCCAUUUUCGUAAAAAGGCAGUAAGCCGAGGUGAUAUGCCCGCGACACGCGCUCCAUCACCCCCAGCUAUUUCCCAAGUUCUGUUUUCAUGUUUUUAAGGGCAAAAAGGUCCUUUACUUUACCUUAACUUGUCCAUAACAGAAAAUUAAAGCCCCAAAACAUUAUUUAUAUUAUUAUUCAUCCUUUUCUCUCCAAAGAAAGCCCUAGCCCCCUCAAGAACACCAAGAACUCCAUCAAAUCUUCUUCAAGAAAAUCAUUCAAGAACAUUUCCAAGAACAUCAAUUUGAGUUAUCUUCUUCAAGAGACAAUAUUCAAGAACACAAAUAGGAAUUCAAGUCCAACUUAUUCAUCAAUUCUCCAAGAUAGUUCAAGAUUAAGAAUUUCCAAUUCAAGAAAUCCAAGAACUCAUCUUCAAAAGCAUCAUAGGAAUCCAAGAUUCAAGCUUUCUCAUAUAAGAUCAUCAAGUGAGGUAUGUAGGAUUUGAACAAGGACAAAUCUUUCAUUCUUGUGCCCAAAAAUUUAAAUUUUAUUAAAGAUUACAUGAUUUACAAGUUGGGGUUUAUACCCAAAGUAUCUUGUUUAAAGUUUAUGAAAUUAUAAGUGAUUUAAGCCUUGAAUUGCAUUUUUAUCCCACCAAUUUAUGCUUUGAAUUGAGAAUUUAUAUCAUGAAUUACACAUCCCUACUGUGAAUUGAUAUUUUCAAGUGUUUCCAAGAUAAUUGUUGAGAAUUAAGUUUCAUUAUGAAAUUAUGAUCAUUUAAAUACAUAUGAUUUAAACACAACUGAAUUUUGACAUUUCAUGAAGAGUAUAUUAUUAUCAUGCUUCAACAAGCAAACAUUCAUAUUUCAAAGAAAGAUUGAUCUUUCGAUCCUAAGCUAAGAUAGGAAUCCACAUUAUUUAUGAUUUAAAGCAAAGAAAAGCAUAAUUGAUUUUUAUUAUAGACCCUUGUGCUAAUUUAAGGUGGAUUUCCUAAAAGUUUUGAGCAAUAAUUAUGCGAGUAAUAUUUAGCAUCGAGUUGGGUAUGAUUCCAAGGUCUCAUAUCCCAGAACUACGUGCCACCGUAGGUUUCUAAUUUUCCCAUAGUGGGCUAAGAUAGUGAUCACUUAAGUUGAGGUUCUAUUCCGAUGGUAAGGGGAGAACAACUCUCCCCAACAUGGGUAAGACGUUGGACUCCAUGUCAGCUCACACGGUUUAUGUCGGUUUGAAGAAACUCUCUAAGUCCCAAAGUUCCAAGAUUCCCCAAAGUCCCUAAAAGUCUUUAGAUAAGGUAUUUUUCCUAACGUUUUAAAGCUUACAGACUACAGAUUUUAGAACAGGAAAGCUUUUAGAAAACUAAGUGUAAAGGCUCACAAAUUUUACUUAGAUUAUGCUUUACAAAAAGAUAUUAGCUUCAGAUUUAAGAUUUAAGAGUGAAUCUUUUCUACACUUAGACAGUAUGAUUUAAAGAGAGGAUACAAGUACAACUUUUAGAACUAGAUGUUAUGACUCAAUAGAUUUAUAAAGUAUGAUUUGCUAUUCAUGAUUUCAAAUUUCAGUAUUUCAGAUAUUCCAGCUAAUGUGAUUCAUCUACAUUUAGCAUGCGUUGUUUUACAAAUUAUGAUGAUGAGAUAAUAUUUUACUUAUGCAUUCACCCCAGUAUACUUAGUAUAUCCUUAAAGUACUGAUCCACGUAUAUGUCUAUGUGCUACAUUGUCUCAUAAUAUAGGUACGAGUUGUAGCACGCAUACUAUAUUCAGACAGUUGUAG